RNAcentral lists this ribosomal RNA (876 nucleotides) under uncultured Nitrospira sp. Its description in RNAcentral is "bacterial SSU rRNA". It matches the Rfam family "Bacterial small subunit ribosomal RNA", at positions 8 to 879 of the family's 1533-position model. Lineage: Bacteria; Pseudomonadati; Nitrospirota; Nitrospiria; Nitrospirales; Nitrospiraceae. The record is from RNAcentral.
AGAGUUUGAUCAUGGCUCAGAAUGAACGCUGGCGGCGCGCCUAAUACAUGCAAGUCGAGCGAGAAGACGUAGCAAUACGUUUGUAAAGCGGCGAACGGGUGAGGAAUACAUGGGUAACCUACCCUUGAGUGGGGAAUAACUAGCCGAAAGGUUAGCUAAUACCGCGUACGCUUCUUGGACUUCGGUUCAGGGAGGAAAGCGCUACCGUGGGUAGCGCGCUCUUGGAUGGGCUCAUGUCCUAUCAGCUUGUUGGUGAGGUAACGGCUCACCAAGGCUUCGACGGGUAGCUGGUCUGAGAGGACGAUCAGCCACACUGGCACUGCGACACGGGCCAGACUCCUACGGGAGGCAGCAGUAAGGAAUAUUGCGCAAUGGGCGAAAGCCUGACGCAGCGACGCCGCGUGGGGGAUGAAGGUCUUCGGAUUGUAAACCCCUUUCGAGAGGGAAGAUGGAAUGGGGUAACCCAUUCGGACGGUACCUCCAGAAGCAGCCACGGCUAACUUCGUGCCAGCAGCCGCGGUAAUACGAAGGUGGCAAGCGUUAUUCGGAUUUACUGGGCGUACAGGGAGCGUAGGCGGUUCGGUAAGCCCUUUGUGAAAUCUCCAGGCUUAACCUGGAACAGUCGGAGGGGACUGCCGGGCUAGAGGACGGGAGAGGAGCGCGGAAUUCCCGGUGUAGCGGUGAAAUGCGUAGAGAUCGGGAGGAAGGCCGGUGGCGAAGGCGGCGCUCUGGAACGUUUCUGACGCUGAGGCUCGAAAGCGUGGGGAGCAAACAGGAUUAGAUACCCUGGUAGUCCACGCCUUAAACUAUGAAUACUAAGUGUCGGCGGGUUACCGCCGGUGCCGCAGCUAACGCAUUAAGUAUUCCGCCUGGGAA